GAUGAACGCUAGCUACAGGCUUAACACAUGCAAGUCGAGGGGUAACGAGAGGAAAGCUUGCUUUCCUUGUCGACGACCGGCGCACGGGUGAGUAACGCGUAUCCAACCUGCCCCCAACUAAGGAAUAACCUUGCGAAAGUAAGACUAAUACCUUAUAAUUUCCUCAGAUGUCAUCUGACGAGGAAUAAAGAUUUAUCGGUUGUGGAUGGGGAUGCGUCUGAUUAGCUUGUUGGCGGGGUAACGGCCCACCAAGGCAACGAUCAGUAGGGGUUCUGAGAGGAAGGUCCCCCACAUUGGAACUGAGACACGGUCCAAACUCCUACGGGAGGCAGCAGUGAGGAAUAUUGGUCAAUGGGCGAAAGCCUGAACCAGCCAAGUAGCGUGCAGGAUGACGGCCCUAUGGGUUGUAAACUGCUUUUAUACAGGAAUAAAGUUAGCCACGUGUGGUUAUUUGUAGGUACUGUAUGAAUAAGGACCGGCUAAUUCCGUGCCAGCAGCCGCCGCCG
Molecule: ribosomal RNA, 506 nt
Filed under: uncultured bacterium
Lineage: Bacteria
Description: partial 16S ribosomal RNA
Rfam family: Bacterial small subunit ribosomal RNA
Source: RNAcentral